RNAcentral lists this long non-coding RNA (703 nucleotides) under Malus domestica (apple). Its description in RNAcentral is "long non-coding RNA (MDOM_LNC017549)". The record is from RNAcentral. Lineage: Eukaryota; Viridiplantae; Streptophyta; Magnoliopsida; Rosales; Rosaceae.
UAACCACAAGACAACUAUGAUGCCUCAGGUCAAAGGACUACUUUGCAUUAUCCCAACCACGAGUUUUCAUGUGACAUGAGUAUGAGAACUCUUCGUUGAUCGUGUUCAGUGAACUCAUUCUCUAUUGAGCACCUACGUACUUGUCUUGAUGUCACACACACCAAUGACUCGAGACUAGUCACUCUCCCUGAGAAAAGACACAGCACGUACUGAUCUUAACGGACUGUCAAUGCCCAAUUGGCAAUCCUAUGAUCAGGAACGUUUAGGAUGUGUCUACGAAAGAAUGGUCUCAUGAAUCUAACUUCUUUAGAUCGCAUUCUCCCAAUCACAUAUUCCUUGGACUUAUCGUUUAAGCGUAUAACAUUUAUAUGAGACGGCUCAAACAAUAAUUUUUGCCCUUGAUAUUAAACUAGAUUAGUUUAACAUGUGAAAUAUCCGUAAAGUAUCAUCAUAUGAUUGGUUUUUGGGGCACAUUUCCAACACCAAAACCUUGGCCCUUAUCAAGGUCGUGCUCUGGUUCGCAAUGCUAAGCUCGAAAUCCACCUAAUCUUCCCAGCCAGUGGACUCACCACGGGAGAACUCGAAGUGGAUUGGUACGGCAUAACCAAUUUUUAAUGCAGCACCAUGAAAUACGUUUGGGAUCAAUAGGAUGGAUCAAAUCUAAGGAAGGGUCUUCCCCCUUAAAAGCCUUGUUUUGAGAACC